Benincasa hispida (wax gourd) is the source of this 1088-nucleotide long non-coding RNA. RefSeq lists it as uncharacterized. The record is from RefSeq and is a predicted model, not a curated record. NCBI's taxonomy places the organism in Eukaryota, Viridiplantae, Streptophyta, Magnoliopsida, Cucurbitales, Cucurbitaceae.
UCAAUAACUAACAAGUGGUAAAAGAGGCGGAGAGAUCAUCUUCUUCAAGAGAUUCACAUUCAUUAACCCAGAGAAAAGUUCUAUGAGAAAAUUCCCCUCUAAUCCUCUCCUUCUCCUUCCCUCUACCAAGGAUUCAAGCAAGCCUUGUUUGAAUCCUUUAAUCCCAAAAGAGAAUAUAGAGGGUUCUUGAUUGGUAGUGUUCGUGCGAGAAGAAGGUGAUCCGCGAGGAAGGAGUUCCGAUUGUUUGAGGGAUUUGUGAAGAAAGGUUCUUCAAAGUUUUCUUUUCUUCCACACGAUCUAGACAUACUAUACGAUUGAAGUUUGCUAAACGAUAGAAGAGUUCUGUCUUCUUCAAUCUCCUUCCAUCUCCAAACUCAAAAAACCCUCCAAACCAAAAUAGUCAAAGCCCACCACUCCUGGACUCUCAUCUUGACAAUACCAAAGGCUCCCAGUGGUUAUGUCUCUUGUUGGUUCGAGAAUUCUUGAAGAGAGUCUUCAAGAUUUGCUGAGUUCGAGGUUCAUGAUAGAUUGAGGGAUUUACAAGAAGAAUGGUUCUUCAAAGAAUUUGGAUGAUCCGCUUCCGCUCAAGGAUCUCUUUAAAACGAGUUCCUUCAAGAUGUUAUUCCCAAGAUUGCAGGCUUGAAGCUUGUGCUCUAAAUUCUAGAAUUUGCGCAAAGCUGGUUAAAGGAUUUCACAAAGAAUUGUAUGGGCGCAGAGGAGUUUUCCAACAAGACAGUUGACCAAUUCCUGAUUUGAAUCCUGAAUGGAAGAGUCGUUUAUCUUGAAAUUGGUGGAAUCUUCUUCAGAGGAGAGAGAGAAGGAUUUCCAGCCAUUGAUUAAGUCUUCUUCGUCCAUGGUAGCUCAAUAAUGGAGGAAAGAAGGAGAAGAAGAGAAAAACAGCUCUAAAAGAAACAAGUGAAGGCUACGAGAGGGAUGUCUCUGAAAGAAAUAGGGGAAGAUGCUCUCACGUUCUUAGAUGAAUCUUAAUCAACUUUUUUGUUUUAAAUGUAUUUAUAAAUCAUAAAACUAGUUACCAUUACCAAUAAAUUUAUCUUAUAUUAAUAAAAUUUGUAUAAUAUUUUGUAAUA